RNAcentral lists this long non-coding RNA (7370 nucleotides) under Homo sapiens (human). RNAcentral describes it as "HSALNT0408859". Lineage: Eukaryota; Metazoa; Chordata; Mammalia; Primates; Hominidae. The record is from RNAcentral.
AAACUCUGUCUCUACUAAAAAUACAAAAAAAUGAGCCAGGCAUGGUGGCACUCACCUGUAGUCCCAGCUACUUGGGAGGCUGAGGCAGGAGAAUUGCUUGAACCUGGGAGGCAGAGGUUGCAGUGAGCCCAGAUUGCACCACUGCACCCCAGCCUGGUCAACAGAGGGAGACCCUUACUCAAAAAAAAAAAAAAAUCCAUGCUGUAUUUAGAAAGGAAACUAUAAUACCCUAAUUAUAGAUUUACUCUACUACUUAUCUUUUUUAUUCAUCUAAUUUCAAGUAAAUAUGUAAAAGGUAAAAUUGUUUUUCCAUCUACUACCUAAAAUCAUCUUGUAUAUCUUCAGUGCUAUGUAUUUUUCACAAUGGGAAGCAGUGAGAUAAAGAAGUAAAGAAAAUGGGAAGAGAAGCAACAAACAACUGCUUAAUUGAUAGUUCUUUGAAAGCAAGGGUAAACUGGCAGAAGAAAGGAGUUAAUGAACAGGAGAAAUGUUCAUUAAUAUGGUCUGUGUUUGAGACCAUAUAUGAAAGUGGGUUCUUAGGGAACAUUUAACGACGACAUCUUUCAAGAUCAAGUCUGGGAAGAAGAAAGGGACCAAUAGGAUGAAAAACCCCCAGUUGGCAGGAGUAGCAAUAACUUUACCAACAUUUGUAGGUUGUCAACAUAAAAUUACCAAGGUUAAGUAAAAGCUUAAAUAAGGCCGGGUGCAGUGGCUCACGCCUGUAAUCACAACUUUGGGAGGCCAGGGCAGGUGGAUCACAAGGUCAGGAGUUCGAGAUCAUCCUGGCUAACAUGGUGAAAUCCUGUUUCUACUAAAAUACAAAAAAAAAAAAAAAAAAAAAAAAAUUAGCCGGGCGUGGUGGUGCAUGCCUGUAGUACCAGCUACUCGGGAGGCUGAGGCACGGGAAUCACUUGAACCCAGGAGGUGGAGGUUGCAGUAAGCCCAGACUGCGCCACUGCAGUCCAGGCGUGGCGACAGAGUGAGACUCUGUCUAAAAAAAAACAACAACAAAGCUUAAAUAAAACCAGCAGCUACUUUUUGCUAUUUCUUUUAUAUAGUGAUACUCUUUCUUGUGAAUUUCCUCUUCCUCCUCUCCUUCUCCUCCUCCUCCUCCCCCUCCUCCUUCUUCUUAUUCUUCCUCUUCCUCCUCUUCCUCUUCCUCCUCUUCCUCUUCUUCCUCUUCCUCCUCUUCCUCUUCUUCCUCUUCCCCUUCCUCUUCUCCUUCUCCUCCUCCUCCUUCUCCUCUUCCUCCUUCUUAUUCUUCCUCUUCCUCUUCUUCCUCUUCCUCCUCUUCCUCCUCUACCUCCUCUACCUCUUCUUCCUCUUCCCCCUCCUCUUCUCCUUCUCCUCCUCCUCCUUCUUCUUCUUUCUCACUUUGUCACCCAGGCUGAGUGCAGUGGCAUGAUCACGGCUCACUGCAACCUCGACCUCCAGGGCUCAAGCCAUCCUCCUUCCUCAGCCUCCUGAGUAGCUGGGACUACAGGCGUGUGCCACCACGUCAGGCUAAUCUUUGUAGUUUUUGUAGAGAUAGGGUUUUGCCAUGUUGCCCAGGUUGGUCUCGAACUCCUGGACUCAAGUGAUCUGCCCGCCUCAGCCUCCCAAAGUGCUGGGAUUACAGGUGUGCACCACUGCUCCCAGCCUAUUUUUAUUUUAAAGAUAUUUAUUUUAGAUAGAUACUGAUGUCCUCCUCCCUUCACCCUGACACAUAGGCUCCUUUUCGUUGAAAAAUGAAAGUUUCAGGCAAGUUUCAGAAAAGUUUAUAGGCUGGGCAUGGUGGCUCAUGCCAGCACUUUGUGAGGCCAAGGUGGGCGGAUCGCCUGAGGUCAGGGGUUCAAGACCAGCCUGGCCAACAUGGCGAAACCGAUCUCUACUAAAAAUACAAAAAAAUUAGCCAGGCGUAGUGUUGGGCGCCUGUAAUCCCAGCUAUUCGGGAGGUUGAGGCAGGAGAAUCACUUGAAUCUGGGAGGUGGAAGUUGCAGUGAGCUGAGAUUGCUCCACUGCACUCCAGCCUGGGCGACAGAGCAAGAAUCCAUCUCAAAAAAAAAAAAAAAUAAUAAGAAGUUGUUUAUAGUGCCAUUGAUCAUAUCAGUGGGAAUAAUUAUACCAAUUAUUUUCAAAGUGUGGUCUGGGGGCCUCUGAGAACUUUUCAGGGAGUCUGCAAGGUCCAAACUAUUUUCAUAGUAGUACUAAGCUGUUACUUGCCUUCUUCACUCUCAUUCUUUCAUGAGUGUACGGUGGAAUUUUCCAGAGGCUACAUGAAGUGAGAUGAUGAUCUCAACUUCUUGGGAGGCUGAGGCAGGAGAAUCACUUGAACCCUGGAGACAGAGGUUGCAGUGAGCCAAGAUCACGCCAUUGCACUCCAGCCUGGGUGAUUGAGUGAGACUCUGUUUCAAAAAAAAAAAAAAAAAAAAAAAAAAAGUUAAAAAACUCCUUUUUUGGUCUAACACACUAAAAGUCAAGUUUUGAUAAUUUAUUUGAAGAACUAUUAGAUAAAUAUAGUAGCAGAGAACAAUGGGCUAGAAUAGAGUCCAGAAAGAGACAUAAAUAUUUAUGGAAGUUAUUUAUGGGAAUUUCAGUUUAUCAUAAAGGUGGUGUUUCUUUCUUUUCUUCUUUUUUUUGAGACCGAGUCUCGCUCUGUCGACCAGGCUAGAGUGCAGUGGCACACGAUCUCGGCUCACUGCAACCUCCGCCCUCCGCCUCCUGGAUUCACGCCAUUCUUCUGCCUCAGCCUCCCGAGUAGCUGGGACUACAGGCACCUACCACCAUGCCCGGCUAAUUUUUUUUUGUAUUUGUAGUAGAGACGGGGUUUCACUGUGUUAGCCAGGAUGGUCUCGAUCUCCUGACCUUGUGAUCUCCCCGCCUCAGCCUCCCAACGUGCUGGGAUUACAGGCAUGAACCACGGCGCCCUGUGUUUUUUUUUGAGAUGGAGUUAUGGAGUUUCAGUCUUCACCCAGGCUGGAGUGAAGUGGUGCGAUCUUGGCUUACUGCAACCUCCGUCCCCCAGGUUCAAGCAAUUCUCCUGCUUCAGCCUCCCGAAUAGCUGGGAUUAUAGGCGCCCACCACCAUGCCCGGCUAAUUUUUGUAUUUUUAGCAGAGACGGGGUUUCACCAUGUUGGCCAGGCUGGUCUCAAACUCCUGACCUCAGGUGAUCCACCCGUCUUGGCCUCCCAAAGUGCUAAGAUUACAGGCGUGAGCCACCGUGCCCCACCAAAGGUGGUGUUUCAAAUUAGCGAAGACAGUUCAAUAAAUGAUGUGGGGACUGACAACUGUUUCAGGACAGGAAUAAAAUGAUCUUGGUCUAUACUUCAGUCCUUAUACCCAAAUGAACUACAAGGGAAUUAAAACUUUAAACAUUAGGAAGAUAGAAGAAAACAUGGAAUGAGGAGGCAAGGUACUGUAUAAGCUCCAGAAACUAUAAAGGAAAUGACGGAUGAAUCUGACUAUGUAAAAAUAAAAACAAAAAAUCCUUCUACAUGGCAAAUAAAAUAAAUAGCAAAGUCAAAAUGCAACUGAUAUACCAAGAAAAACUAUUUGUGAUUUGGGGGUGAUGAAAGAUUGAUUUCUUUCAUCCAGAGCCCAUAUGCAAACCAAUCAGGAAAAGGCAAACAGACCAAAAGAAAAAUGGGCAAAGGCUACAGUCUGCUUUACAGAAAAAUAAAUGCAAAUGGACAAAGAACAUGAACCUAUACUCAACUGCAGCCAUAAUUAAAGAGAUACAAAUUAAGACAACACUGAAAAGCAUUUUUUUUUUUUUUUCUGAGACUGAGUCUUACUUUGUCGCCAAGGCUGGAGUGCAGUGGCUCGAUCUUGGCUCACUGCAACCUCUGCUGCCCGGGUUCAAGUGAUUCUCCUGCCUCAGCCUCCCAAGUAGCUGAGAUUACAGGCACCUGCCACCGUGCACGGCUAAUUUUUGUAUUUUUAGUAGAGACGGGGUUUCGCUAUCUUGGUCAGGCUGGUCUCGAACUCCUGACCUCAUGAUCCACUCGCCUCAGCCUCCUAAAGUGCUGGGAUUACAGGCGUGAGCCACUGCGCCCAGCCGAAAAGCAAUAUUGUUCAUCUGUUGGAUCUACAAGCAUAUUAAAGGGUGAUGCCUAGUGCUGGCUAAGAUGUAGGUAAACACACUAUUAUAGUAAAUUGAUAAAGUCUUGCUGGAGGACACUUGGCUGUAGCUAGUAAAAUAGAAGAAAUGUGUGAUAAUGCGUAGUAAUAGCAAAACUUAUGAAAUAACACACAACAAUAAUAUAUAUAUAUGUAUAUAUAUAUAACAAAAUAAAAAAAGAUACAUAUAUUUGACCUGGUAAUUCCACUGCUAGGAAUUCAUUCUCCAGAUAACCUGCAAAGGCUUGCCAAUAUGCACAUCCUGUGAGUGUGUUUAGAUGAGAGAGCUCUUGGCAAGGCUCAGUUGGUGGAGUCCCACUGUGACCCUCAGCUGACUAUGUUGUGUUAGUAAGACAGUGUGUAUAGAACAAUAACUAUGGUUAAGUGAAACCUCUGCUUGUUUUUCUUUUUGUUUUUUGUUUGAGAGGGAACCUCACUCUGUCACCCAGGCUGGAGGGCAGUGGUGUGAUCUUGGCUCACUGCAGCCUCUGCCUCCAGGGUUCAGGCAAUUUUCCUGCCUCAGGCUUCCUCAGGCGUAGCUGGGAUUACAGGCACGCACCACCUAGCCCCGGUUAAUUUUUGUAUUUUUUUAGUAGAGAUGUGGUUACACCAUGUUGGCUAGGCUGGUCUUAAACUCCUGACCUCGAGUGAUCUGCCUGCUUUGGCCUCCCAAAAUGCUGGGAAUACAGGCGUGAGGCACCGCACCCGACCUUCUGCUUAUUUUUCUAUAUUGAUCAUGUACCACUUUAGCUUAUGGAAUUGUGGCAAUACAAUUUCAGUUUGUACAUCUACUUUGAUUUGCUGUUUCUGCAUUCUUGUUUUAGCACUGUAUUAGAGGUAGUUUUUUCAAAAUUCAUGCCAACAUAAAUAGCUUCAUCCCCAGGAGAUGAUCAGUGCAAAAGUUUCAAUUACUCCUGUCACUUUUUUUUUUUUUUUUUGAUGGAGUCUCGCACUGUUGCCCAGGCUGGAUGCAGUGGCAUGAUCUCAGCUCACUGCAAGCUCUGCCUCCCGGGUUCAUGCCAUUCUCCUACCUCAGCCUCCCUAGUAGCUGGGACUACAGGCGCCCGCCACCAUGCCCAGCUAAUUUUUUGUAUUUGUAGUAGAGACGGGGUUUCACUGUGUUAGCCAGGAUGAUCUUGAUCUCCUGACCUCGUGAUCCGCCCGCCUCGGCCUCCCAAAGUGCUGGGAUUACAGGCGUGAGCCACCGCACCCGGCCUCUCCUGUCACUUUUAAAAAAGUUACUCCUCAUAUCUAUUGGCUGAGGAGAUGGAAGUGUUUCUGGGGAUUUGAGAUGCUAAGAUGAUGAUGUUUUAGGCCCACGGCCAUGGCACCUACUUUUGUUCUAUUCAGCCUACUGAGAGGUGACAGUGUGCUGGCAGCCCUCACAGCCCUCCCUCGCUCUCAGCGCUUCCUCUGCCUGGGCUCCCACUUUGGCGGCACUUGAGGAGCCCUUCAACCCGCUGCUGCACUGUGGGAGCCCCUUCCUGCGCUGGCUGAGGCAGGAGCUGGCUCCCUCAGCUUGCGGGGAGGUGUGGAGGAGAGGCGCGGGCAGGAACAGCAGCAGUGUGACUUCCGGGUGGGCGUGGGCUCGGUGGGCUGCACACUCAGAGCGGCCAGCUGGCUCCGCCGGCCCGGGGCAGUGAGGGGCUUAGCACCUGGGCCAGCAGCUGCUGUGCUUGACUUCUCGCCGGGCCUUAGCUGCCUCCCUGUGGGGCAGGGCUCGGGACCUGCAGCCCGCCAUGCCUGAGCCUCCCCCCGCCAUGGGCUCCUGCACUGCCGGAGCCUCCCCGACGAGCGCCGCCCCCUGCUCCAUGGCACCCAGUCCCAUCGACCACCCAAGGGCUGAGGAGUGCGAGUGCAUGGCGUGGGACUGGCAGGCAGCUCCACCUGCGGCCCCGGUGCAGGAUCCACGGGGUGAAGCCAGCUGGGCUCCUGAGUCUGGCGAGGACUUGGAGAACCUUUAUGUCUAGCUAAGGGAUUGUAAAUACACCAAUUGGCACUCUGUAUCUAGCUCAAGGUUUGUUAAACACACCAAUCAGCACCCUGUGUCUAGCUCAGGGUUUGUGAAUGCACCAAUGGACACUCUGUAUCUAGCUACUCUGGUGGGGACUUGGAGAACCUUUAUGUCUAGCUAAGGGAUUGUAAAUACACCAAUUGGCACUCUGUAUCUAGCUCAAGGUUUUUAAACACACCAAUCAGCACCCCGUGUCUAGCUCAGGGUUUGUGAAUGCACCAAUCGACACUCCGUAUCUAGCUAAUCUAGUGGGGACGUGGAGAACUUUUGAGUCUACCUCAGGGAUUAUAGAUGCACCAAUCAACACCCUGUCAAAACGGACCAAUCAGCGCUCUGUAAAACAGACCAAUCAGCUCUCAGUAAAAUGGACCAAUCAGCAGGAUGUGGGUGGGGCCAGAUAAGGGAAUAAAAGCAGGCUGCCGGACCCAGCAGUGGCAAGGCGCUUCGGUUGUCUUCCAUGAUGUGGACGCUUUGUUCUUUUGCUCUUUGCAAUAAAUCUUCCUGUUGCUUUCUUUGGGUCCACACUGCCUUUAUGAGCUGUAACACUCACCGUGAAGGUCUGAAGCUUUACUCUGGAAGCCAGUGAGACCAGGAACCCACCGGGAGGAAUGAACGACUCCAGACACACCGCCUUAAGAUCUGUGACACUCACCGCGAAGGUCUGCAGCUUCAUUCCUGAUCCAGCGAGACCAUGAACCCACCAGAAGGAAAAAACUCCGGACACAUCCGAACGUCUAGAAGAAACAAACUCCAGACACACCGCCUGUAAGAACUGUAACGGUCACCGCGAGGGUCCGCGGUUUCAUUCUUGAAGUCAGUGAGACCAAGAACCCACCAUUUCUGGACACACUACCAUGCCAGAGAUCCAGGGGCUGCAGCAUGCUGAAAGAAAACAGAAGCCUGUGGAGUGAGCCAAGAUCAACCAGGAAAUAAACCCUUUCCCUUGCGAUGUCUCUCCAGCGCCCUCUACUGACAAACCUGCUUUAGUGCCAGUUUGUAGAGAUAGAGUUUCAUUCUUUUGCCCAGGCUGGAGUGAAGUGGUGUGAUCUCGGCUCACUGCAACCUCCGUACCCCAGGUUCAAGUGAUUCUCCUGCCUCAGCCUCCUGAGUAGCUGGGAUUAUAGGUGCCCGAUACCACACCUGGCUAAUUAUUGUAUUUUUAGUAGAGACGAGGUUUUACCAUGUUGGCCAGGCUGGUGUCGAACUCCUUACCUCAAGUGAUCCACCCGCCUUGGCCUUUCAAAGUGCUAGGAUUAAA